ACAACUUUCAGCAACGGAUCUCUUGGCUCUCGCAUCGAUGAAGAACGCAGCGAAAUGCGAUAAGUAAUGUGAAUUGCAGAAUUCAGUGAAUCAUCGAAUCUUUGAACGCACCUUGCGCUCCUUGGUAUUCCGAGGAGCAUGCCUGUUUGAGUGUCAUUAAAUUCUCAACCCUUAUAACUUUUGUGAGCUAUUAGGGCUUGGAAAUGGGAGUUUGCGGGCCUUAUAGAGGUCAGCUCUCCUGAAAUGCA
RNAcentral lists this ribosomal RNA (248 nucleotides) under Calvatia sp. CSK-2014. RNAcentral describes it as "5.8S ribosomal RNA". The stretch from base 3 to 156 matches the Rfam family "5.8S ribosomal RNA". Rfam says of the family: 5.8S ribosomal RNA (5.8S rRNA) is a component of the large subunit of the eukaryotic ribosome. It is transcribed by RNA polymerase I as part of the 45S precursor that also contains 18S and 28S rRNA. Functionally, it is thought that 5.8S rRNA may be involved in ribosome translocation. The record is from RNAcentral. Lineage: Eukaryota; Fungi; Basidiomycota; Agaricomycetes; Agaricales; Lycoperdaceae.